This 492-nucleotide ribosomal RNA is filed under the name uncultured bacterium. RNAcentral describes it as "partial 16S ribosomal RNA". It matches the Rfam family "Bacterial small subunit ribosomal RNA", at positions 29 to 507 of the family's 1533-position model. The record is from RNAcentral.
AGUGAACGCUGGCGGUAGGCCUAACACAUGCAAGUCGAACGGCAGCACAGUAAGAGCUUGCUCUUACGGGUGGCGAGUGGCGGACGGGCGAGGAAUACAUCGGAAUCUACUUUUUCGUGGGGGAUAACGUAGGGAAACUUACGCUAAUACCGCAUACGACCUACGGGUGAAAGCAGGGGAUCUUCGGACCUUGCGCGAUUGAAUGAGCCGAUGUCGGAUUAGCUAGUUGGCGGGGUAAAGGCCCACCAAGGCGACGAUCCGUAGCUGGUCUGAGAGGAUGAUCAGCCACACUGGAACUGAGACACGGUCCAGACUCCUACGGGAGGCAGCAGUGGGGAAUAUUGGACAAUGGGCGCAAGCCUGAUCCAGCCAUACCGCGUGGGUGAAGAAGGCCUUCGGGUUGUAAAGCCCUUUUGUUGGGAAAGAAAAGCAGCAGGUUAAUACCCCGCCGUUCUGACGGUACCCAAAGAAUAAGCACCGGCUAACUUCGUG